ACCGGCAGCUCAAGUGGUGGCCAUUAUUAUUGGGAAUAAAGCGUUCGUAGCCGGUUUGAUAAGUCUCUGGUGAAAUCCCGCAGCUUAACUGUGGGACUUGCUGGAGAUAAUAUCAGACUUGAGGUCGGGAGAGGUUAGGGGUACUCCCAGGGUAGGGGUGAAAUCCUAUAACCCUGGGAGGACCACCUGCGGCGACGGCGCCUAACUGGAACGAACCUGACGGUGAGUAACGAAAGCCAGGGGCGCGAACCG
Molecule: ribosomal RNA, 252 nt
Filed under: uncultured prokaryote
Description: partial 16S rRNA
Rfam family: Archaeal small subunit ribosomal RNA
Source: RNAcentral